AAUGGAGGAAACUCUGAACCAGCCAUCCCGCGUGAAGGAUGAAGGGGCUCUGCCUUGUAAACUUCUUUUGAAUGGGACGAAAAAAGGGGAUUUAUCCUCGACUGACGGUACCAUUAGAAUAAGCACCGGCUAACUCCGUGCCAGCAGCCGCGGUAAUACGGAGGGUGCAAGCGUUAUCCGGAAUCACUGGGUUUAAAGGGUGCGUAGGCGGCUAAAUAAGUCAGUGGUGAAAGGCCGUGGCUUAACCAUGGGAUUGCCAUUGAUACUGUAUAGCUUGAAUGAGGAUGAGGUUGGCGGAAUGUGGCAUGUAGCGGUGAAAUGCUUAGAUAUGCCAUGGAACAUCGAUUGCGAAGGCAGCUGACUGGACCUGAAUUGACGCUGAGGCACGAAAGCGUGGGUAGCGAA
RNAcentral lists this ribosomal RNA (405 nucleotides) under uncultured bacterium. RNAcentral's name for it is "bacterial SSU rRNA". It matches the Rfam family "Bacterial small subunit ribosomal RNA", at positions 370 to 772 of the family's 1533-position model. The record is from RNAcentral.